GGACUGUAGCUCAGUGGCAGAGCGCUUGCCUAGCCUGUGUGAGGCAUUGGGUUCAAUUCUCAGCACCA
RNAcentral lists this transfer RNA (68 nucleotides) under Marmota monax (woodchuck). RNAcentral describes it as "tRNA.Ala". Lineage: Eukaryota; Metazoa; Chordata; Mammalia; Rodentia; Sciuridae. The record is from RNAcentral.